Molecule: ribosomal RNA, 253 nt
Filed under: uncultured bacterium
Lineage: Bacteria
Description: partial 16S ribosomal RNA
Rfam family: Bacterial small subunit ribosomal RNA
Source: RNAcentral
UACGUAGGGUUCGAGCGUUGUCCGGAAUUAUUGGGCGUAAAGAGCUUGUAGGCGGUUUGUCGCGUCUGCUGUGAAAAUCCGGGGCUCAACCCCGGACUUGCAGUGGGUACGGGCAGACUAGAGUGUGGUAGGGGAGACUGGAAUUCCUGGUGUAGCGGUGAAAUGCGCAGAUAUCAGGAGGAACACCGAUGGCGAAGGCAGGUCUCUGGGCCACUACUGACGCUGAGAAGCGAAAGCAUGGGGAGCGAACAGG